AAUUCAUCUCCGGGGGUAGAGCACUGUUUCGGCUAGGGGGCCAUCCCGGCUUACCAACCCGAUGCAAACUGCGAAUACCGGAGAAUGUUAUCACGGGAGACACACGGCGGGUGCUAACGUCCGUCGUGAAGAGGGAAACAACCCAGACCGCCAGCUAAGGUCCCAAAGUCAUGGUUAAGUGGGAAACGAUGUGGGAAGGCCCAGACAGCCAGGAUGUUGGCUUAGAAGCAGCCAUCAUUUAAAGAAAGCGUAAUAGCUCACUGGUCGAGUCGGCCUGCGCGGAAGAUGUAACGGGGCUAAACCAUGCACCGAAGCUGCGGCAGCGACACUGUGUGUUGUUGGGUAGGGGAGCGUUCUGUAAGCCUGUGAAGGUGUGUCGUGAGGCAUGCUGGAGGUAUCAGAAGUGCGAAUGCUGACAUAAGUAACGAUAAAGCGGGUGAAAAGCCCGCUCGCCGGAAGACCAAGGGUUCCUGUCCAACGUUAAUCGGGGCAGGGUGAGUCGACCCCUAAGGCGAGGCCGAAAGGCGUAGUCGAUGGGAAACGGGUUAAUAUUCCCGUACUUGGUGUUACUGCGAAGGGGGGACGGAGAAGGCUAUGUUGGCCGGGCGACGGUUGUCCCGGUUUAAGCGUGUAGGUGUGUGUUCCAGGUAAAUCCGGUUCACUUUAACACUGAGGCGUGACGACGAGGCACUACGGUGCUGAAGCAACAAAUGCCCUGCUUCCAGGAAAAGCCUCUAAGCAUCAGGUAACAUCAAAUCGUACCCCAAACCGACACAGGUGGUCAGGUAGAGAAUACCAAGGCGCUUGAGAGAACUCGGGUGAAGGAACUAGGCAAAAUGGUGCCGUAACUUCGGGAGAAGGCACGCUGACACGUAGGUGAAGUGAUUUACUCAUGGAGCUGAAGUCAGUCGAAGAUACCAGCUGGCUGCAACUGUUUAUUAAAAACACAGCACUGUGCAAACACGAAAGUGGACGUAUACGGUGUGACGCCUGCCCGGUGCCGGAAGGUUAAUUGAUGGGGUCAGCGCAAGCGAAGCUCCUGAUCGAAGCCCCGGUAAACGGCGGCCGUAACUAUAACGGUCCUAAGGUAGCGAAAUUCCUUGUCGGGUAAGUUCCGACCUGCACGAAUGGCGUAAUGAUGGCCAGGCUGUCUCCACCCGAGACUCAGUGAAAUUGAACUCGCUGUGAAGAUGCAGUGUACCCGCGGCAAGACGGAAAGACCCCGUGAACCUUUACUAUAGCUUGACACUGAACAUUGAGCCUUGAUGUGUAGGAUAGGUGGGAGGCUUUGAAGUGUGGACGCCAGUCUGCAUGGAGCCGACCUUGAAAUACCACCCUUUAAUGUUUGAUGUUCUAACGUGGACCCGUUACCCGGGUUGCGGACAGUGUCUGGUGGGUAGUUUGACUGGGGCGGUCUCCUCCUAAAGAGUAACGGAGGAGCACG
Molecule: ribosomal RNA, 1444 nt
Filed under: Salmonella enterica
Lineage: Bacteria; Pseudomonadati; Pseudomonadota; Gammaproteobacteria; Enterobacterales; Enterobacteriaceae
Description: partial 23S ribosomal RNA
Rfam family: Bacterial large subunit ribosomal RNA
Source: RNAcentral